This 253-nucleotide ribosomal RNA is filed under the name uncultured bacterium. RNAcentral's name for it is "partial 16S ribosomal RNA". It matches the Rfam family "Bacterial small subunit ribosomal RNA", at positions 524 to 776 of the family's 1533-position model. The record is from RNAcentral.
UACAGAGGUCUCAAGCGUUGUUCGGAUUCAUUGGGCGUAAAGGGUGCGUAGGCGGCGGGGCAAGUCAGGUGUGAAAUCUCGGGGCUCAACCCCGAAACUGCACUUGAUACUGCCCUGCUAGAGUACUGGAGAGGAGAUUGGAAUUUACGGUGUAGCAGUGAAAUGCGUAGAUAUCGUAAGGAAGACCAGUGGCGAAAGCGAAUCUCUGGACAGUUACUGACGCUGAGGCACGAAGGCCAGGGGAGCAAACGGG